AGGUUGCAAAUUGUCUACAUUUGGCUAAGUCUUUGGACGUUAGUUGUCACGAAUGAGGAUCUGUCACAGAUAGAUUGCUCCAGCAGAAAUUCCCUCCUGACCCCAGCUCCCUCCCUCUGGUCUCUGAGAUUGACCUGUGGCCUGCAACAUUAGCCAGCUGUCUAUGGGGAUGUGAUAGGGCACAGUUAGUCCAGGAAACCUACAGCAGACAGUUAAGUAUGAUGUACACCCAUUUAGUGCAGAGCAACAGGAGAAGGAACGGAGGCCGCCUUUUGCGCUGGAGGCUUCCUCAGGGCUGAGUCAGCAUGCCAGUCUCCUGGGGCGAGUUAGUGCGGCCUUUCUGAUUCUGGCCUCUAACCCAGACCCCACUCAGGCGUCUUGAAGGCGGUUGCUGUUCUUGCAGUGACUGGCACUGAAGAGGGUAAAGAGGCUUGAGCCAUUCCUGGGUCUACUCUGUGGGACCCGGGGGCCUUUUUCUUCCUUUCUUUUUUUUUUUUCUUUUUGUUUUAAACAUAGCACAAUACAGCCUCACCACUAAACAAGUCACCCAGUUCAUAGUUUCUACUGAAUUUGCAAACUACUCUUAACUUCUUUCAAUAACCACUUUCAUCAUCGACCGUGAGGGGUGGAAGAGGUGCCCUGUGUCUCUGCAAUAAAACUUGUGCCAGGUUCUACCUCCUUGUGCAAAGGGUAUUUUACAUAAAGGCGCUGGGCUUCCUUCCCGACCUGACAUGGUGCAUCUGGAGACAUCUGCAGGAGUCCAGAGACCUUUCCAAAUGACGUCAGAUGUAGACUCUCGGGUGGCCUCUGUCUUCGUCCGUUUCCUUUCGUACUGCUGCGCUGCAUAGGACUAUCCAUCCGGAGGAAAAGUACAUGCUUUUUCCACGCCGCCUGCCACGUUGCUGCCUUCAGCCUCUCCUGGGAACCUGCUCCCCAGUGUCCAGAACUCAGUGCUACCAUCAUUUUGAUAUGUAACUUUCGAAUUCAGUCUCAUGCAAUACAAGUGUGUCCGCCUCACUGAGCAGAGCUCAUUUGUCCUCAAGUAGAAAAUGCUUGAUCCUCACACGGAAAGUACUCUCUGUAUUUAGGUUUUUGUUGUGGUUUUGUGGUUUUGUUUUUGUUUUUGGUUUGUUUUUUUUUUUUCAUUUUUGUUUGGAUUUCGUUUCUGUUUUUGUAAAAUUCUUAAAUAAAAUUAAACAAAUAGAC
RNAcentral lists this long non-coding RNA (1206 nucleotides) under Rattus norvegicus (Norway rat). RNAcentral's name for it is "long non-coding RNA NONRATT007477". The record is from RNAcentral. Lineage: Eukaryota; Metazoa; Chordata; Mammalia; Rodentia; Muridae.